This 30854-nucleotide long non-coding RNA is filed under the name Triticum aestivum (bread wheat). Its description in RNAcentral is "long non-coding RNA (TAES_LNC022759)". Lineage: Eukaryota; Viridiplantae; Streptophyta; Magnoliopsida; Poales; Poaceae. The record is from RNAcentral.
GACGCAACCAAGCUCAGGAGGAGCUCGUUGAAGAUCUUGCCCUUUGUGUUGUUUCGUUCUAGUUGAUCAGUAGUGGAGCCCAGUUGGGGUCGAUCGGGGACCUUUGUCGCAUUUGGGGUUCUUCUUUUAUUUUGGUUCCGUAGCCGGACCUUGAUUGUAUCUGGAUGAUGUAAUGCUUUAUUCAUGUAAUUGUGUGAAGUGGCGAUUGUAAGCCAACUAUGUAUCUCUUUCCCUUAUGUAUUACAUGGGUUGUGUGAAGAUUACCUCACUUGCGACAUUGCCUUCAAUGCGGUUAUGCCUCUAAGUCGUGCUUCGACACGUGGGAGAUAUAGCCGCAUCGAGGGCGUUACAAGUUGGGUAUCAGAGCCUUCCCCGACCUUAGGAGCCCCACUGCUUGAUCGUUUUUAGCGGCCGAGUUGUGUCUAGAAAAAUAUUUUGAGUCAUUUAGGAUUAUAUAUAUCGGAGAGUUAGGAAUUCUUUUUACUCCCCAGUCUCUUCAUCGCUCUGGUAAGGCAUCCUGACGUAGAGUUUUGACUCUUCUCUUCUCAAAUUUCACUAAAUUUUUUUUUAGGAUCACGCGGGUAUCUUGGAAUCGUUCCGAUGGUUUUAUGAUGAGAACAUUGUCUUGGUGCCUCCUGUCAGGGGUUUUGUGGAAGUGUCCCGGGGAGUUGAGCUCUGAGGUGUUGUCAUCAUAAUUUUAUCGUUGUAGUUCUGGAAUACCUGAGUUUAGUACGCCGACAUCGAAAAUCUCUUUUAUGCAGUUGUUGGUGAGAUAACCCCGAUAACCCAGUACUGAGGUGAGUACGGGAGUAUCGCCAUAACUUGUAUAACGGAUGCUUUUCGAAGGUUGAGGUAGAUGAUUUCCGAAGGUUUCUUGGUUAUGUGUUGAAGGAUGGAUACAGCUGGAUGUAGGAUUUGCUAGUUUGGGUGAGAUAUUAUGCUUCCCCUGUAUCCCCAACACCUGAUUGCAUAACCGGAAAAUUUCGGGAGUUUCAUAGGUGGGAAUUCAAGUAGCUCUUAGGAUAUCUUUUCGACAGAUGUAUGAUAUGAAAUUGGGGUUCGACGUCUAGUGGUCCGCCUAUUCACGGUCGUUUUUACAGUGGUCUCGUUGUGUCUUAAAGAGUCCUUGGCUAUGCCGACUCGGGGACGCUUCGUAUGUCAUGUGCACUGCCUUGUACAUGAUGGUGCUGUACGAUCGAGCCCGUGUAGGCCCCACCACGAAAACUUCGGACGAAAUCUCUAUCAUAUGUUUGUUCUGGCUUAUUUUGCAAGCCAAUCCUUUGUUUUGUUUUGAGUUGUGGUAUUCGAGUUGCUUCGAAGUCAAAUGUUGAUUCCAUACCUUUUCCAAAUGGUGUUCUCAUAUUCCUAUGUGAAUACUAAUCCUUCUUGAUCAUCGAGUCUGUCUUGUCAAUCCUUUUUUUUAACCAGUGUGUCUCUCUUCAAGUGGAUCCGAUCAUUCUCCCCAUCCGCAAGAUCAAUUCUAAGUUUUUCUCAACGGUGUUCAUUCCAACUGCCCCAAGUUGCCUUUGUUUUUCCCGCCCUCCCACCCUUUUUGUUCAAGGACUCAGAUAUCUUAAUCAUGUAUCCUUUUAUUGAUGGGAAGUCUCUCCAUUCUUUUCCGUCAAUAUUCUUAUCCGGUGAUUCUCACGUAUAUUCUAACGGAGCUUCAAGUUCAUCACUCUUCACUCGUUUUCUUCUCCGGUGGAUUUAAUUCAAGCUUUGGUAUUAAGCAUACUCCUUUUCUUUUUUUUCCAAUGUUUUUCUUAUGCCGGUGCGCCUCUUAAUCAUCCAUCUCUCGCUAUUAAAUUGUUCCGGAGUGCUCAAGAUAUCUCGAAUAUUCGUGUUUCCACUCUGCAUUCGUUCAAGCUCUUUCGAGAUUGGUAUCUCAUUCAAGUCAUUUAAUUCAACCGGUGCAACAUCUCUUUUAAAUCUUUUCAACGGUGUUUUUUUGAGUGGGCCCUAACCCACAGGUCUUUUCCCAGGAUCUUACCUGACUCUUCUAUUUUCCCAGAGCUAUCCUAAAUUCUUCUCCAAGUUUGACGUAAGAAUGAGUUAUCAUUAGUCAAAUGCUUUUCUCCAAGAUCUUUCAAAUUCUAUUCAUAGUUGGCUCAACCUCUUCGCUUUUGAUUCUUCCGGUGUGCCUCAAUAAUUCUUGGUGGUGUUUCUCGUUGUCAUUCUCAUCAUUUGAAGACCGAAGAAGAGUUUCUCUUUAAUCUUGCUCUAUUCUCUUCAAGAUUCUUGGUGCUAACUUGAUGCCAUCCUCUCAUAGUUGUUUUCGAUUGUCAGAAUUCUUUUCACUCAUCCGGAGUAAUUCAGAGUAUUUUUUCUGUCAGAUUAUCCGGAGCCCAUCGUCUAAGAUUGACUCAGUCCAGCUUUCAGCUCGCAUACUCUAAAUCAUACUGGUGCUUCGUUCAAGUGAUCUUUAAUCGGCUCGUGAUCUCGUCGUUCUCAUGUAUCUAAAUCCUCUCAAGCAUCUUCGUGUAUUUGCUAAUUCUUCCCGGUGUCUUCCUUAUCUUUUCUUUGUUCAUUUUUAAUUCUUACCGUGGUUCUUUCAAGAUCUCUCUUCCUUGUUCAUCAUAUCAAUUCAUUUGUUGUUCCAAUCCUACCGGUGGUUCGUUCAAGAGUUUUCUUCCUUCGUGUAUCAUAUCUAUGCAUUCGUACUUUCUAAAUUCUACCGGUGGAUCGUUGAAGACUUUCUCAAGUUUACGCCAUAUCUCUCUUAAUCCUUUCUACAAGAAUAAGUAGUAUGCCAAAUCCGUUGCUUGUCAUCAAUUUAAAUUGGUGAAGGAUACGCAUAACAUAAUUCUUAUUCUGGUUUCAUCCAAGUGAUUAAUCCUUUCCUUCAGAGUUUGUCCAGGAGGAAUAAAUUCUUGGCUUCUUGUUGUUCAUCUUUCUUCCGGAGUUCUAAGUUUUCCGCAUUAUCUCGUCGCGAAGCUCCAUCUAAAUCAUCGCAAGGCUUCACCUUGUGUUUUCAACUUCUCUUUCUUUUUUAUCAUCCUUUUAUUACCGGAGUUCUUCAUGGAGGCUCUACAUGAUGGUUCAUCAAGGAUUUAUAUUUCUUCUUGAAGUGUUCAUCGAGAUUCUUUUCUAAGAAACUCAAGCAUUCUUCAUCUUGCUAUCCGGAGUGCAAUUUCUUUCUACCGUAUCUUUGGAGGUGGUAUUAUGUCCUUCUUGAUAAUUCCCCUUCGUUGCUUCGUGAUUCACAAGUUUUCAAGAGUGACUUAUUUAAAUCCAUCUUUUUCUCUUUGUUCAAGAGAUCUUUUCAACCGUCAAUCUCUUCAUUGGAGUUAUCUUGGUAUAGAUUUCACCUAAAGCCUUCCCUAAGGAAUGUUGCUAUUUGGUGCUUAUUAAUGACCCAAGUUAUCUCUUUUCCAUCUUGAUGGAACAAGUUUUCAUCUCUUCGUUAAUCUCAAGCAAGUAAUUGUUCCGUUAGUGGCCGGUUGUCACCUCAUAAUGUUGAGAUGUUUCCAUAAGCCCAUAUCAAGAUUAUUCUUUUCGUUGUUGGUUUUCAACAACUCCAUUCUAGCAUUUGUUGUAUCCGUGAUCUCUCAAGAUCUUGUUUCCCUUCGUUCCGGAGUCAUUGUGAUGUUGCUCUUUUCAACCCAUCAUCUCGUUUGUCAAAGAUCAUGUUCUUUUCGUGCUUAUCCAUUUAACCAGAGUGUCGUGUCCUCUGCUCAAGUUCUUUUCAUCUUAUCUGGUCUUGUAUCACUUUUCAACCGGAGUGCUGCCCGAAUUUGGUCUUCCUUGAUCCCCUUCCUUAACCGGAGUGGUUCCAAUAUAUAUCUUCCCUUCAACCUCAAGGUUUCGCAAUGCUCUUUGUCCCUAGUUUCUAACGGAGUGUUUUCGACUUUGUUCUCCUUCGUUCUAUUCUUUUCUCGAAUUAGUUCAACCUCGCAAGGUUCUUUGGUUUCACUCGUUCGUCAAAGGAGCAACUUAGUUUUACCUAUCCUCUCUUUCUCUUCCGUUGUCCCUCCGGUGCCAUUCUAGAUCUCGGGACGAGAUCCUCUCAUAGUGGUGGAGUGUUGUAACGCCCCGAGACCGAUGUGCCAGGUGUCGUUCAGUUAGUCGCCGUCGUUGCCAUGUCAUUUGCUUGCGUGUUGCAUUUUAUCAUGUCAUCAUGCGCAUUUCAUUUGCAUACAUGUUCGUCUCAUGCAUCCGAGUUUUUUCCCCGUUGUCCGUUUUGCAAUCCGGCGUUCCGUUCUCCUCCGGUGGUCAUUUCUACCUUUCUUUCUUGUGUGGGGAUUAAACAUUUCUGGAUUGGACCGAGACUUGUCAAGCGGCCUUGGUUUACUACCGGUAGACCGCCUGUCAAGUUUCGUACCAUUUGGACUUCGUUUGAUACUCCAACGGUUAACCGAGGGACCGAAAAGGCCUCGUGUGUGUUGCAGCCCAACACCCCCCAAAUUUGGCCCAAAACCCACCUAACUCUGCUCCAUCAUCUCGGUCGUUCGAUCACGAUCGCGUGGUCGAAAACCGCACCUCAUUUGGAGCUUCCUAGCUCCCUCUACCUAUAAAAGAGCACCCCUCCCCGAAAUUUCGGAUCAUUUCGCAGUCUAAACCCUAGAUCCACUCCUCCCCGCGCCACCGGACGCGUCCGCGCUGCACCAGACAUGUCCGCCCCCGCGCGCCACCUCACUCCAGCCAAUGGGGGCGAGCCACGUCAGCUCCGCCGCCCCUCUCCUCCACUCACCGCGCGCCACGUCAACGCCCAGCCUCCCCACUUCGCCGCUGGGCCCGGAGAGCCCGCAACCGGCCCCCGCGGCCCAUCCAUCGCCGCCGCCCGAACCCACGGGGAGACCAGAUCCGCACCGCCCGGUCCUCCCUUGCACCGCCGCACGCCGUCUCGACGCCGGCCGCCCGCCGACGCCGCUCGCCGCCUCGCGCCCUGCCCGGCCCCGGCCACCGUUGAGCUCGCCGGAUGCCGCCCCGUCGCCCUUCGCUUCCCACCGUCGUCCCGGAGCGCAGCGGCCUCCAUCCGACCCCAGGGAGGAGCCCCGGUGCCGCCCGCCCCAAGAUCCAGCGCCGCCGCCUCGGUUCCUGCCGUCCCCGUCGCCGGAGUUCCCGGUGCGCCGUCGCCGCCAUGGAUCGGGAACCAGAGCCCCGAUCUGCUCCCUCCGUUGACCGCGCCCGCGUGGGCCGGCCCAAUCAUCCUCGCCGGCCCAACGCAGCCCCCGCCUUCGGCCCAGCUCCCCGCGGUCCAGCGCGAGCGCCCCAAGGCCCAGCUCCAGCCGGCCUCGCCUUGGCCUGCCUCCUCCUCCAGCCGGGCCGAAGCCCACUGGGUGAGCCGCCACCCGCCCCACCUUGUUUUUUUUCCAUUCCUCUGGUUGGGCUGCCCAGUGCUCCAGUUCCUGUUUCGGCCCGCCUCGUUUUUUUUCCGUCCUGGGAAUUUGUCUAUUAUCCUCAGUUUGUCAGUUUUACAGUUUAGACCCUCAUGUUCAUGCAUUUAAUAACUCACAAACCGUGCGUUGGAUUAAAAUGUUUUAUAUAUGAAACUUGCUCAAAAUUUUGUGUAGAUUAAUAAUAUCCAACUUUCAUCCAUAUUUAAAAUGUUAAAAAUGCUGUUUGCAUUAAUUUGCUCCUAUGCCAUGCUAAAAUGCUUUAUUUCAUAACUAAAUAACCGUAACUCCAAUUUUAAUAAACUUUAUAUGUAAAUGGGGUAGAAUUUUGCCUAGUUUAUCAUGGUGGCCUUACUUUGCAUGUUUAACAACUCUAAAACAUUGUUUAGGGCAGAACAGUACCAAACCUAAUUUAUGCUCAUAAGGAGUUUCCAGAAUUGUUGUUCGUUGCUUCCGGCCUCAUUUAAACUUGCCUAGAUAGGUAGUUUUGUUGUGCUUCACCCUCUUGCCAUGUUAACCAACAUUUAAUAUUGUUGAGUACAUAAACGAGAUCAAACUAAAUAACGUGUCGUGGUGCUUCGUCAAUAUGCAACUCGUUGCAUAUUGAUCUCCACUUAAUUUGUAGAACUGCUUGUGCACUUUGCCAUGCCAUGCUUCAUUAAAACGGACAUGCAUCAUACUCGUUUGUGCAUCGUGCCAUGUUGUUGUGUUGGUUAUUUACUAUGUUGUGUGCUUCUUUUCCGGUGAUUGCUUCUUCGGGUUAGUUCCGAUAACGUCGCGUUUGUGAGGAUCUGUUCAACUACGUCCGUUUGUCUUCUUCAUGGACUCGUUCUUCUUCCUUGCGGGAUUUCAGGCAAGAUGAUCAUACCCUCGAAAUCACUACUAUCUUUGCUAUGCUAGUUUGCUCGCUCUUUUGCCAUGCCAAUGCUACGAUGCCUACCACUUGCUUGUCAGCCACCCAAAUUGCCAUGUUCAACCUCUAACCCACCCUGUCCUAGCAAACCGUUGAUUGGCUAUGUUACCGCUUUGCUCAGCCCCUCUUAUAGUGUUGUUAGUUGCAGGUGAAGAUUGAAGUUUGUUCCUUGUUGGAACAUGGAGUUCGUUCCUUGUUGGAAUAUUGUUUACUUGUUGGGAUAUCACAAUAUAUCUUACUUAAUUAAUGCAUCUAUAUACUUGGUAAAGGGUGGAAGGCUCGGCCUUAUGCCUGGUGUUUUGUUCCACUCUUGCCGCCCUAGUUUCCGUCAUAUUGGUGUUAUGUUCCCGGAUUUUGCGUCCCUUACGCGGUUGGGCUAUAAUGGGAACCCCUUGACAGUUCGCCUUAAGUAAAGCUUCUCCAGCAAUGCCCAACAUUGGUUUUACCAUUUGCCACCUAGCCUUUUCUUUCCCUUGGGUUCUGCAGACUCAAGGGUCAUCAUUAUUUUACCCCCCGGGCCAGUGCUCCUCUGAGUGUUGGUCCACCUGUCAGCUACCGGUGGCUACCAGGGGCAACUCUGGGCUGGCCUACCCGUACCUAAGACAAUCUGAGUGUGCCCUGAGAAAGAGAUAUGUGCAGCUCCUAUCGGGAUUUGUCGGCACAUUCGGGCGGUGUUGCUGGUUUAGUUUUACCCUGUCGAAAUGUCUUGUUGUACCGGGAUACCGAGUCUGAUCGGAAUGUCUCGGGUGGAGGUCUAUUCCUUCGUUGACCGUGAGAGCUUGUCAUGGGCUAAGUUGGGACUCCCCUGCAGGGAUUGAACUUUCGAAAGCCGUGCCCGCGGUUAUGGGCAGAUGGGAAUUUGUUAACGUCCGGUUGUAGAAAACCCGAAGUUGACCUUAGUUAAAAUACAUCAACCGUGCGUGUAACCGUGAUGGUCUCUUUCCGGCGGAGUCCGGGAAGUGAACACGGUGUUGGAGUUAUGCUUGACGUAGGUAGUCCAGGAUCACUUCUUGAUCAUACUUUUAUCGACCGUGCUUUGCCUUCUCUUCUCGCUCUCAUUUGCGUAUGUUAGCCACCAUAUAUGCUAGUCGCUUGCUGCAGCUCCACCUCAUUACUCCAUCCUUCCUAUAAGCUUAAAUAGUCUUGAUCUCGCGGGUGUGAGAUUGCUGAGUCCUCGUGACUCACAGAUACUUCCAAAACCAGUUUGCAGGUGCCGAUGAGUUUGUGCAGUUGACGCAACCAAGCUCAGGAGGAGCUCGUUGAAGAUCUUGCCCUUUGUGUUGUUUCGUUCUAGUUGAUCAGUAGUGGAGCCCAGUUGGGGUCGAUCGGGGACCUUUGUCGCAUUUGGGGUUCUUCUUUUAUUUUGGUUCCGUAGUCGGACCUUGAUUGUAUCUGGAUGAUGUAAUGCUUUAUUCAUGUAAUUGUGUAAAGUGGCGAUUGUAAGCCAACUAUGUAUCUCUUUCCCUUAUGUAUUACAUGGGUUGUGUGAAGAUUACCUCACUUGCGACAUUGCCUUCAAUGCGGUUAUGCCUCUAAGUUGUGCUUCGACACGUGGGAGAUAUAGCCGCAUCGAGGGCGUUACAAAAGACUACAGGAAUGAAUAGAGUUGAGUAAGAGAUAGCAACUCACCCAGUUAGGGGGAUUGUACAUGGAAAAUCCAUCCUGUGGCUUAAUGCGGAUGAACUCCUCUUCUUCUCCUUUGUAUAAAUCAGACAGUAUUUUCGCCAGAGCGGUGGCGGAGUCCAGACCUUUCCGACUGCAGCGGGUGGCAUCAUCUUCUCCGUUGAAGUGCCACAUGGGACGCCCUCGAUACUGGAGUGGCCGCACCCCCCGCAUUAUGCAUAUUGACAUAACCUUGAUUAUUGUCAAUCCGGAUUGGGUAAGCGUUUUUAUCCUGCCCAUCAAUUGAAGGACCUCUCUGCUAUCUUCCUCCUUGGGGCUCCGAGGAUGCCAGCUAUGGUGUUUCUUCAACGGGUCAUUUGUGAACUCAGGAAGACUCAUUCGGAUAGGGUCAGGAAGGGAGACGUCCUCUAUAUAAAACCACUCGGAAGGCCAAUCUUCGGAUGUCUUCUUCGGAGUGCCGGACAGGUAUUCGGUCUCGGCGAUGCGCCAUAUUUCGGCUCCGCCCACUUGGAAUAUUGAUCCCUCUUGAUUGCGAGGGACGAGGCAGAACAACCUCUUCCAUAGCUCGAAAUGAGCUUCGCAACCCAGAAAUAACCCGCAAAGGGCGACAUAACCUGCGAUGUGCAGGAUGGAGGCAGGGGUGAAAUUGUGCAGCUGGAGGCCAUAGUACUCCAGGAGCCCGCGAAGGAACGGAUGGAUUGGAAAUCCGAUGCCCCUCAGCAAGUAAGGGACAAGGCACACUCGCUCCCCCCUGGAUGGGUUGGGAAAACUCUCUGCUUGCUCCCCGCCAUCAAAAGUGGCUAAUCCGGCUCGAACGGGGACAAGAUAUGCAGGUGGAAGAAACCCCUGGGUAUGCAACUUCACCAAUUGGCCAUGGGAUAUGGUACACUUCUCCCAAUCACCUGGCUUGGCGCUAUAAGGACGAGAUGAAGAGCUUUGACGACCGGCCAUGAUGGGAUGGUUUUUUCGGGCGCACUCUAAUGAAUCCUCGCUUGGGGAAGAUGGUGUGAUUUGGAUCUGAGGAUCCCCGUCUCUUUAAUAGACGAUUUAUUUACAUGGUUAGGGUGGCAAGUGUAAAAAUGCUCCGGCUCCUCGCAUUCACUCGACACAUGGAGGCUGACACUAUUAAGGUACAGAAGACGAUGAUUGCAACAUUAAAUGGGAAGUUGGACACUGCUCGUUACAACAGGUACUCUAGAGAAUUCGGAGAAGGAACCCGCCUUGCAAUGCCGAAGACAAUCUGCGCGCCGGACUCAUCGUCAUUGAAGCCUGGUUCGGGGGCUACUGAGGGAGUCCUGGAUUAGAGGGUCCUCGGACAGCCGGACUAGAUGCUUAUGCCGGACUGUUGGACUAUGAAGAUACAAGAUUGAAGACUUCAUCCCGUGUUCGGGUGGGACUCUCCUUUGCGUGGAAGGCAAUCUUGGUGAUUCGCAUAUGUAGAUUCCCUUCUAUGUAACUGACUCUGUGUAACCCUAGCCCCCUCCGAUGUCUAUAUAAAUCGGAGGGUUUAGUCCGUAGGAUGACAACAAUCAUAAUCAUAGGCUAGCUUCUAGGGUUUAGCCUCUACGAUCUCGUGGUAGAUCAACUCUUGUAAUACUCAUAUCAUCAAGAUCAAUCAAGCAGGAGGUAGGGUAUUACCUCCAUAGAGAGGGCCCGAACCUGGGUAAACAUCGUGUCCCCCGCCUCCUGUUACCAUUAGUCUUAGACGUACAGUUCGGGACCCCCUACCUGAGAUCCAUCGGUUUUGACACCGACACUUACCCAGUCUGCCAGACUAUAGCCGGAGCAACCCUUCGGGAUACUUAAUUGAGCAAAGUCUUCCCCCUCGCCUUUAAAUAGGUCAACUAGUAUUUUGGCCAUAGCUGCCUGGUUGUCCGGCCCUAGUCGCUUGUAGUGGGUUGCAUCGCUGGUCCUGUUGUAGCACCACAGAGGAUCUACCCACCGGGCUAUGGCGACGGCCAUCACUUCGAUCAUGGUCAGUUUACCAUGGGCCAACAGCCAAAUUUUGGUGGCCGAAAGGUGCACCUCCAUGAUGUCUAAUUGGGAAGGGCUCUUGGGUCGCUAGUUGAAUCGCUUCUUUAAUGGGGCACUAGAGUAUUUGGGCAGCCCCCUCCGGACUGGGUCAAAGAGGGGAACGUCUUCAAUAUAAAACCACUCUGAGAUCCAUUCCUCGGAAUCUUUUCAUGGGGUCCCGAUGGGAUACCCUGUCCCGGCUAUGCGCCAUACCUCUUCUCCACCUAGUUAAAAUAUUGACCCUUCACUAGUUCGAGGGACAAGGCAGAAGUAUUUUCUCCACAAAUCAAAGUGGGCUUCGCAGCUCAGGAAUAUCUCGCAGAGGGCCACAAACCUAGAAAUAUGCAGUAUGGACCCCGGGGUGAGGUUGUAAAGAUGGAUCCCAUAAAAUUCUAAUAAACCCCAUAAGAAGGGUGAAUGGGAAAGCCUAGGCCUCGUAGCAGGAAAGGCAUGAAACAUACUCUCUCUUCCUUGCUUGGAGCAGGGAAGUUCUCGGCGAAUGCUGGGCCAUCCAUGAAGAUCAAUCCAGCACAGAUGGAGACAAGAUCCGUUGCAGGGAGAUAUCCUUGCGUCUGUAGAUUACACAGUUGAAGGCGUGAGACGAAGCAGCUCACCUAGUCUCUUGGAACGGGACUGUGAGGUCGUGAAGAAGAUCCUGGGGCAUCGGCCAUGGUGCCUAAAAUUUCUCAAGCAUUGGCUUCUAGGGAAGGACGGGUCAGUCGUCCCCCGCAUUUUUGGAUCUAUAAAUAGGCGUUUCGUCCUAAAGUUGAAAGGACGGCUCUACAAAAUGGGGACAUUGGGCCGUUCGCCUUCUAAAAAGGUGCACAAUGGUCAAAGUUUGCCCUCGCCCGAGGAAAGCAUUAACUCCGAUGGCCCUGAUACGUCCAUUUUGCAUCAUGCUUUUAUAUCAAUAUUUAUUGCAUUAUGGGCUGUUAUUACACGUUACACAAUACUUAUGCCUAUUCUCUCUUAUUUUACAAGGUUUACAUGAAGAGGGAGAAUGCCGGCAGCUGGGAUUCUGGGCUGGAAAAGGAGCAAAUAUUAGAGACCUAUUCUGCACAACUCCAAAAGUCCUGAAACUCCAUGAAAGUUAUUUUUGGAAUUAAUAAAAAAUAUUUGGCGAAGAAAGUACCACAGGGGGCCCACACCCUGGCCAUGAGGGUGGGGGGCGCGCCCCCUGCCUCGUGGGCCCCCUGGCAGGCCUCCGGUGACCAUCUUCUGCUAUAUGAAGUCUUUUACCCUGGAAAAAAACCAUAAGCAAGUUUUCAGGAUGAAACACCACCGCCACAAGGCGGAACCUUGGCGGAACCAAUCUAGGGCUCCAGCGGAGCUGUUCUGCCGGGGAAACUUCCCUCUGGGAGGGGGAAAUCAUCACCAUCGUCAUCACCAUCGAUCCUCUCAUCGAGAGGGAGUCAAUCUCCAUCAACAUAUUCACCAGCACCAUCUCCUCUCAAACCCUAGUUCAUCUUUUGUAUCCAAUCUUUGUCCCAAAACCUCAGAUUGGUACCUGUGGGUCACUAGUAGUGUUGAUUACUCCUUGUAGUUGAUGCUAGUUGGUUUAUUCGGUGGAAGAUCAUAUGUUCAGAUCCUUAAUGCAUAUUAAUACCCCUCUGAUUAUGAACAUGAAUAUGAUUUGUGAGUAGCUACGUUUGUUCCUGAAGACAUGGGAGAAGUCUUGCUAUAAGUAGUCAUGUGAAUUUGGUAUUCGUUUGAUAUUUUAAUGAGAUGUAUGUUGUCUCUCCUCUAGUGUUGUUAUGUGAACGUCGACUACAUGAAACUUCACUAUUAUUUGGGCCUAGAGGAAGGCAUUGGGAAGUAAUAAGUAGAUGAUGGGUUGCUAGAGUGACAGAAGCUUAAACCCUAGUUUAUGCGUUGCUUUGUAAGGGGCUGAUUUGGAUCCACAUGUUUCAUGCUAUGGUUAGGUUUACCUUAAUACUUCUUUUGUAGUUGCGGAUGCUUGCAAUAGGGGUUAAUCAUAAGUGGGAUGCUUGUCCAAGAAAGGGCAGUACCCAAGCACCGGUCCACCCACAUAUCAAAUUAUCAAAGUAACGAACGCGAAUCAUAUGAGCGUGAUGAGAACUAGCUUGACGAUAAUUCCCAUGUGUCCCCGGGAGCGCUUUUCUCCAUAUAAGAAUUUGUCCAGGCUUGUCCUUUGAUACAAAAAGGAUUGGGCCACCUUGCUGCACUUGAUUUACUUUUGUUACUUGUUACGUGUUACGAAUUACCUUAUCACAAAACUAUCUGUUACCGAUAAUUUUAGUGCCUGCAGAGAAUACCUUACUGAAAACCGUUUGUAAUUUCCUUCUGCUCCUCGUUGGGUUUGACACUCUUACUUAUCGAAAGGACUAUGAUAGACGCCCUACACUUGUGGGUCAUCUAGACUCUUUUCUGGCACCGUUGCUGGGGAGUGAAGCGCCUUUGGUAAGUGGAACUUGGUAAAGAAAAAUUUAUAUAGUGUGCUGAAAUUUACUGUCACUUGUUACUAUGGAACAUAAUCCUUUGAGGGGCUUGUUCGGGGCAUCUUCACCCCGACCAGUAGAGCAAAGAGUUGCUCCUCAACCUACUGAACCUACCGAAAAUGUUUACUUUGAAAUUCCUUCGGGUAUGAUAUAGAAACUGCUAGCUAAUCCCUUUACAGGAGAUGGAACAUUGCAUCUCGAUUUACACCUAAUAUAUGUGGAUGAAGUUUGUGGAUUAUUUAAGCUUGCAGGUAUGCCCAGCGAUGUUAUCAAGAAGAAGGUCUUCCCUUUAUCUUUGAAGGGAGAGGCAUUGACAUGGUUUAGGCUAUGUGAUGAUAUGGGAUCAUGGAACUACAACCGAUUGAAAUUGGAAUUUCAUCAGAACUUUUAUCCUAUGCAUCUUGUUCAUCGUGAUCGUAAUUAUAUAUAUAAUUUUUGGCCUCGCGAAGGAGAAAGCAUCGCUCAAGCUUGGGGGAGGCUUAAGUAGAUGUUAUAUUCAUGCCCCAAUCAUGAGCUCUCAAGAGAAAUGAUUAUUCAAAAUUUUUAUGCUCGUCUUUCUCUCAACAAUCGCUCCAUGCUCGAUACUUCUUGUACUGGUUCUUUUAUGAUGAAGACUAUUGAAUUCAGAUGGGAUUUAUUGGAAAGAAUUAAAUGCAAGUCUGAAGAUUGGGAUCUUGACGAAGGUAAGGAGUCAGGUAUGACACCUAAGUUUGAUUGUGUUAAAACUUUUAUGGAUACUGAUGCUUUUCGUGAAUUUAGCACUAAAUAUGGACUUGACUCUGAGAUAGUAGCUUCUUUCUGUGAAUCAUUUGCUACUCAUGUUGACCUCCCUAAGGAGAAGUGGUUUAAAUAUAAUCCUCCCACUGAAGUAAAAAUAGUUGCACCUAUUAAAGUUGAAGAAAAGACUAUCACUUAUAAUGAUCCUAUUGUUCCUACUACCUAUAUUGAGAAACCCCCUUUCCCUGUUAGGAUAAAGGAUCAUGCUAAAGCUUCAACUAUGGUUCGUAAGAGUAAUACUAAAACACCUACACCACCUGAGCAAAUUAAAGUUGAACCUAGUAUUUCUAUGGUUAAAGAUCUCUUGGCUGAUAAUAUUGAUGGGCAUGUUAUUUACUUCUGUGAUGAAGCUGCUAGAAUUGCUAGACCUGAUACUAAGAAUAAACAUAGGCUUGUUGUGGGCAUGCCUGUUAUUUCUGUUAAAAUAGGAGAUCAUUGUUAUCAUGGCUUGUGUGAUACGGGUGCUAGUGCUAGUGCAAUACCGCAUUCCUUAUACAAAGAAAUUAUGCAUGAUAUUGCACCUGCUGAAAUAGAAGAGAUUGAUGUUACAAUUAAGCUUGCUAAUAGAGAUACUAUUUCACCAGUUGGGAUUGUUAGAGAUGUUGAAGUAUUGUGUGGGAAAGUGUAGGACCUUGAAGUAUGUCUAGAGGGGGGGUGAUUAGACUACUUAACCAAUUAAAAACUUAACCUUUUCCCAAUUUUAGAGUUUGGCAGAUUUUAGCUAUCUUAGGACAAGUCAAGCAAUCAUCACGCAAUUCAAGCAAGCAUGCAAAGAGUAUAUAGGCAGCGGAAAUUAAAGCAUGCAACUUGCAAGAAAGUAAAGGGAAGGGUUUGGAGGAUUCAAACGCAAUUGGAGACACAGAUGGUUUUGGCGUGGUUUCGAUAGGUGGUGCUAUCGUACAUCCACGUUGAUGGAGACUUCAACCCACGAAGGGUAACGGUUGCGUGAGUCCACGGAGGGCUCCACCCACGAAGGGUCCACGAAGAAGCAACCUUGUCUAUCCCACCAUGGCUGUCACCCACGAAGGACUUGCCUCACUAGCGGUAGAUCUUCACGAAGUAGGCGAUCUCCUUGCCCUUACAAACUCCUUGGUUCAACUCAACAAUCUUGUCGGAGGCUCCCAAGUGACACCUAGCCAAUCUAGGAGACACCACUCUCCAAGAAGUAACAAAUGGUGCGUUGAUGAUGAACUCCUUGCUCUUGUGCUUCAAAUGAUAGUCUCCCCAACACUCAACUCUCUCAUAGGUUUUGGAUUUGGUGGAAAGAAGAUUUGAGUGGAAAGCAACUUGGGGAAGGCUAGAGAUCAAGAUUCAUAUGGUAGGAAUGGAAUAUCUUGGCCUCAACACAUGAGUAGGUGGUUCUCUCUCAGAAAUGGUAAGUUGGAAGUGUAGGUUUAGUCUGAUGGCUCUCUCCACGAAUGAAGAGGAGGUGGAGGGGUAUAUAUAGCCUCCACACAAAAUCUAACCGUUACACACAAUUUACCAAACUCGGUGGGACCGAUUCAACAGACUUGGUCAGACCGAUUUAGCAAACCUAGUGACCGUUAGGAUUUUCGGUGGGACCGACAUGCAACUCGGUGAGACCGAUUUUGGUAAUAAGCUUUCCAGAGAGUUGGUCAGGUAAACUUGGUGGGACCGAUUUGCUCUUUUCGGUGAGACCGAAAUGUUACAAAAGGGAAACAGAGAGUUUACAUUGCAAUCUCGGUGGGACCGAUCGCUCACUUCGGUUAGACCGAAAUGUUACGAAGGGAAACAGAGAGAUUACAAUCCCAUCUCGGUGAGACCGAGAUCCCUAUCGGUAAAACCGAUUUGCCUAGGGUUUAUGGCAGUGGCUAUGACAUUUGAAAUCGGUGGCGCCGGAUAGAAAGAAUCGGUGUGACCAAUUUUGGAUUUAGGUUUAGGUCAUUUGUGGAUGUGAGAAAGUAGCUGAGGGUUUUGGAGCAUAUCACUAAGCACAUGAAGCAAGAGGCUCAUUAAGCAACACCUCAUCCCUCCUUGAUAGUAUUGGCUUUUCCUAUAGACUAAAUGUGAUCUUGGAUCACUAAAAUAUAGAAUGAAGAGUCUUGAGCCUUUGAGCUUGAGCCAAUCCUUUGUCCUUAGUAUUUUGAGGGAUCCACUUUCAUCAUCCAUGCCAUGCCAUUCAUUGAGCUUUCCUGAAAUAAUAGUCUUGGAAUAGCAUUAGCUCAAUGAGCUAUAUGUUGUUAUGAAUCACCAAAACCACCUAGGGAUAGUUGCACUUUCAAUCUCCCCCUUUUUGGUAAUUGAUGACAACAUAUAGAUCAAAGCUUCGACAAAUGAUAAUAAGAUUUAAAACAUCGUCGCUUUGAGAAGUAUGUGAUAAGCAAGAGCUCCCCCUAAAUUUGUGCAUAGUUUAAGAUUUGCUUUGGACUGCAAAUGUACAAGGAAUUAGGCUCAUGGGUUACUCUUCCAUGUCACAUACAUCUUGGUGGAGCGCUCAAAAUGAUAAAGAUUGAAUACAUGCACUCAUCACCAAGCAAAGUGAAUGAUCACAUAGGAUAGAUAAGAUAAUAUCAUCAAACAUGCAUAAGUGUAGCUUAUGAUCAAACACAUGAUCAUCAAUGUCUCACAAAAACAGCAUAGUAUCUCAAGCAAUCAAAAGGAAACAAAGUUUAACCACCAAAUCAAAGCAAGAGAGAAAAAAGAACAUCACUCUCUCUCUCUCGAAGCCUAUGAUCUAUACAUUUUUCUCCCCCUUUGGCAACAAGUUACCAAAAAGUUCAUAGAAAAUGCAUAGUGCUAGAUCGACUCUCAGGCUUGAUCUUCAGGUGGUGGUGUCCGGAUAACUCCAAGAACGAAGGCUUCAGUUGAAGUAGAUGGAGCUGGAGUUGAUGCUGGAGCUGGUUGCACUAGAGCUGUAGGAGCUGUAGCUGGUGCAGAUGAUGUGGCUCUAGUGUCUGGCACAGGCACUGUAGCUGACCUCUGAGCUCUAGGCACUCUGGAAAAAACAUUAGUGGUAGUCUUGCCCUGCCUUUCCUGCAUGUCAUCCUGUAGCUGCUCCACAACAGACUGAAUCUCAGUUACUUUGACAUCUAGAUCAUGGAAUUUGAGUUCCAUGAUUCUUUCCAAGCUCUCCUGAUUUUGAGUGAGGGUGGCCAAUCCCUUCUCAAUCCUCAGUGUUGAUGCUAUUAAGUAACCAAGCUGCUCCUGCUUGUUCUUCAAGAAAUACUCAGAUGCCUCCUCUUGAGUUGGCAUCCUGGUAGCCUUCUCCUUCCUUGCCUUCUCCUUCUUCUCUUGAGCUUGAACUGAUGAUGGAUCAUUCUCAUUCAUGACAACCUGAUUGUCCUCAAAGUCUGGAUAGAGGGGAAAAUGUCCCUUAUCCAAUUGAUAUUUGCCUGUGCCCAUCUUUGAGUUAAUCAACUCCUGAAUCUGAGGGCAUAUGCACAGCUCCUCUUCUGAUCUGCUGCAGUCCUCUUAAUGGUUUCAAUCAUAAGGCUCAUGACCUUAAAUUUCUGUGGCACAUCAAACAAAUGCAACAUGUUGAUUGCAUGCCCUCUAAUCAUGUUGUGGUCACCAGACUUAGGCAACAGAGUGUGCCUUAGAGCAUCUCCAACAGCUGCGCUAAGCGCCGCGCGCAAAAAUCCUAUUUGCCGCAUGCGCUUCGGCUGGUUUAGCGUGGCCGUCAGCGCUAGCUCCAGCAGCCGCGCUAUAAUGCAGCGCGCGCGCCGCUCCAGCAGAGCGCAAAAAUACAGCACGCGCGCCGCACAAACCACAUAUACAUUUAAAAGAAGAAGAGCAAAAAUGAUCAAACAAACAAAAUAAAUCAACAAUAAAUAGUUCAAUUUCGUUAUCAUUACAACUCAAACAAAUAGUUUAUCGUUCAGUACAACAAAUAAUGCAAUAAACACAACAAAUAGUUCAUGAACAAUACAAUGUCGAAUGCAGAAAUCAUGAUGCUCUUUGUCGUCCAUACCAUGCCCACCACUCUUCAAUCAGAUCAUUCUGAAGUUCAUUGUGCGUUGUGGGACGCCGAAUGGCAUGAUAGGAGGCAAUAAAACGGGCUACCCUUUCAGCCCUCCGUCGCACUCGCACGGGAUGUCCCAAGAGUUCAUACUGUGAGUAGUCUAAAUCUUGGCCACGCUCAUUCUCGACGAUCAUGUUGUGCAUGAUCACACAAGCGUGCAUGAUGUACCAAAGCAUUUUUUAUCCCAAAAUCUAGCCGGUCCUCUCACAAUAGCAAAUUGGGCUUGCAAAAUCCCAAAUGCUCUCUCCACAUCUUUUCUAGCCGCCGCCUGAGCAUUGUGGAAAUCAAGAUAUUUCUUACCUUCCGGCUUUUUCAACGGCUUCACGAAGGUUUGCCACUUUGGAUAGAUGCCAUCCGCUAGAUAAUAGCCAUAAUUGUACGUACGGCCAUUUUCUACAAACUACACAGGUGGCAACUCACCGUUUGCAAUCUUAUUCAUCAGUGGUGACCGGUUGACAACAUUUAUGUCAUUCAAAGAUCCAGGCAUUCCAAAGAAUGCAUGCCAAAUCCAAGUCUCCUGAUCGGCCACCGCUUCAAGGAUUAUAGUGGAACCCUUUUUUUGGCCAUGGAAUUGCCCAUGCCAUGCCUUUGGACAAUUCUUCCAACUCCAAUGCAUGCAAUCUAUUGAGCCAAGCAUGCCAGGAAAGCCGCGCUCUUUGUUCAUUGACAAUAGCCUUGUGGCGUCUUCAGCAGUGGGAGAUCUCAAAUACUCCUCGCCAAACACUUGCACAAUUCCCACUGCAAAGCGCUUGACACACAUGAUGGCUUGGCUCUCACACAUAGCCAAGUGAUCAUCAACUAGAUCAGCCGAGAUACCGUAUGCCAACAUACGCAAAGCGGCUGUCACCUUCAGAAAGGUGCUAUGCCCGAGCUCUCCGGCGGUAUUCCUCCUUUGCUGGAAAAACCGAUCAUAGCUCGCUAGUUUCUCUGCAAUGCGCCUGAACAAGUCGGUGCUCAUCCUAAACCGGCGACGAAAAUACGACUCCGGGUACGUGGGAUUCUCCAUGAAAUAGUUCUUCAUCAAUCUGUUAUGGGCAUCAAUCCUAUCUCUCCAAAUUUUCUCUCGACCCAUAACCGAACCACCGUGCUUCGGUUUUUUAUUGAUAUGCAUAGCUAGGAUCAUUGCAAGAUCCUCUUCCUCUUCCAUAUCAAAUUCUUCUUCGGAAGAAUCAAACGACGAACUCAUCUACAAUGUUCAAUACUAUACUAUAAAAACUACAAUUCAAAACAUGCACCAAAUUCAUGAAGUUUGAGCAAUACACACCUUGUAGGCGUUUUGUCGAACACCUUGCGGGCGCGGCGCGGCAGCGAGCGCUCGGGCACUGUUCCUCGGACGACGGAGGCGCGCGAGCGCUGGCGGGACUAGGAGGGGAUGGGGCGGAAGCGCGGCGGCGCGGGGAUAGGCCGGGGAAGCACCUGAACGGUCGCCGGGGUGCGCGGGCAGCGGCGGCGGCGCGGCCGGAUGGGGGUGGAAGUGGGAGAGGAAGUGCGAGAGCGAGCGCUCGAGUGUGCCGUGCGCUGUAGCGGGCGCCCGAAAUACAUCGCGGGGGGCAGUGUUUCCGACAGCGCGCCCAACUCGUUAUAGCGCGCACGUGGUUUUUGCGCGCCCGCUGGAGUGACCCGCCGCGUUGCGCGCGUGCUAAAACCGACUAAUUUACAGCGCGAUGCUAGUAUUGCGCGACUGUUGGAGAUGCUCCUAGGAUGCAGUUAAUAGUUGGCAGCCCUGACAGAAGGAAACGGACUGACCCAAACUUAUGUGUCUCAAUGGCUUUGUCUGGGAUCUCCUUGUACAUGUGUGCCAUGGAAUUGUGGUCCAUCUUCUUCUUGGCAUAGACAUCCAAGUCAUCUUCACUCUCCUUUGGGGCAUUUAUAAGUUUUGCCCACUCCUCAACAGUUGACUGGUACCUUGUACCUUCAGACAUCCACACUAUCCUCCCAUCUGGAUAGAAGUGUGCUGUGGAGUAGAAUUGCAUAAUGAGUUCAUCAUUCCAGUUGGUGAGCUUUUACCCAACAUAAUCUGCAACUCCACAAGCAACAAAACUGUCUUGCACUCCAGGAUAGUGCUCUUCAUUUUCCUUAAUAUAGGUCCAGUCGACCCACCUCAUAUCACACACUAUGGGCUUCUUAUCCAACAAAAUUGUAUCAUAGAAGUCCUGCUGUUCCUUUGUAUGGAACUUGUAAUCAACAGCAGUCCUUCUCCUUGAGGCAUAUGGAUCUGUCAGCCUCCAUAGCCUCAACCCUGAGUCUCUUCUGAUGUUCAUGUCCUCAGCCACAGGAUGGGCAUCAUUGUGGUCUGGUAUCUUGGGCUUGAGCUUCCUCAGAACUUGUCCUUGUUCAUCUUCCUCCUCAGCAACCUCAGGCACUGGGGCCUUGUUCUUCUCAGCAGCUGGAAUACUCCUGGUAUUCCUCUUUGGUGCAAGCUUGGCCUUGGGGGCAGCUUUGGGUGCUUCCUUGGGCUUAGAUGUUGCAGCCCCUGAUCUAAUAGCAUCACCCAUAAGCUUUGGUGCCUUGGGUGCUGGUGCAGCAACCUCUUCUUCCUCUUCAGAAUCUCUCCUCAUUGAGGGCUUUCCAAGAACCUGGGCAGUUGUGGUUCUUGAUCUCUUCUUCUUCUUAUCCUGAGCAGCUUCAUCCUCUGAUUCAACGGUAAACUUCAUAGUUUCUCCAGUAGGAACUUUCUUCGAUUUGGAAGUUGUGACUUUCUUUGCAGGUGCCUCUUUGGGUUCAGAUGUUGCAGGCACUUGAGUAGAUCCUCUGACCUUUAGCAUAGGUGUCCUCUUGGCAGGAACCUUCCUAUUGAGUCCAGGCUUUGUGUUCUUUGCUGAGGCAUACUCCUUUUUGAGAACUACCUUCUUGGAAGUAGCCUCAUUUUCUUCUGCUCUAUAGUCCUCAUCCUCUGAGUCUGAGGUUCUCUUCAUCCUUUGCCUGGUAGCAGCCUUAGGCAGAUUGCUAGGAGUGCUCCUGCUGCCUUCAUCUGAAGUGCUGGAGGGACUAGUGCCCUCACUCAUGUGCAUUUGCUCUUCUGACCUGUUCUGACUGUCACUUUGGUCUGACAUGCUGCAAACACUGACUGCUGACCCUGAGAAGAGUUAUAGAUGAGGUAGAGUGCAUAAGCAUCACAAAAUGCAGAGAGUUUUGCAAAAGAAUGACUCAAAAAUUCAGUUUUAGUUUUCCACAGAAAGCAUUUCGGAUCAAUAGAUUUUCAAACUCGGUGAUACCGAAGCAGUUUUGGAACCUAAACUGAUGAACUCGGUUGGACCGAGUUAUAGUUCGGUGGCACCGAGACUGCUAGGGUUUCACAAAGUUCUGAAAUUGGUCUCACCGAUAAGCAAUUCUCGGUCAGACCGAGAGUUACUAGUGCAAUGGCAUAAGCCAAAUUGGUGGGACCGAGUUUUUCAACUCGGUGGGUCUGAGAUGAUUUCGGCGGAAACCUAACCCUAAAUUUUCAAAUCUCAUCUAAUCUACGGAUUGCAUUGACUGGAUAGGAGUGUUUCAAUCGUGGCAAGAAUCAAUAAGAACACAAUGUGCUAGGAAUCGGACGAGGAUAGCACUGUGAUCGAGUCCAUACCCUAGCUUGGCGAUGAACUCGCUACGACGGCAAUGGUGGGGUUGAAAUCCGUUGACGGCGGCGGAGACCAGCGACAGGAGGCGGCUGGAAAUGAGGAGACGAUCCGGAGACCCCGGAGACAGAGCGAGCUAUUGCACGGGCGAAGAGGUUCAGAGAAAUUUCCAAAUUUUUGCCCGUGGCUAUAUAUAGCCCAUCCCUGUCGGUGUGACCGAGUGGAACAACUCGGUGGCACCAAGAUGCAUAGCUGUGUACAGUUAUUGCAACUCGGUGUGACCGAAAAGUUCAAAUUGGUUGCACCGAGAUUGAAAACUCAAAACGACUUAAUGAUCUCGGUAGGACCGAAAUGAGGAAUCGGUCAGACCGAGAAUCACAAAGAAGUUUUGGAAGUUUAAGUCUAUGACGAAUCGGGGACUCCGAGUGCUCCUCACAUAGAGUGGUUCAAAUCUGACUUGAUCAAAUUUUGUGAUGUAGCAUGAAUAGAGUUUGAGACGAGAAAAUCAUAGAUAGCUAGAGAAGGUUCUUAGGCAUUCUUGUCCAUCCACUUGGCAAAAAGAAAAGAAACUCAAACAAUCAAAGCAACAAGUGGAUGUCUGAGGGAGUCCUGGACUAGGGGGUGUCCAGAUAGCUGAACUAUCAUCAUCGGCCGGACUCCAAGACUAUGAAGAUACAAGAUUGAAGACUUCGUCCCGUGUCCGGAUAGGACUUUCCUUGGCAUGGAAGGCAAGCUUGGCGAUGCGGAUAUGUAGAUCUCCUACCAUUGUAACCGACUCUGUGUAACCCUAGCCCUCUCCGGUGUCUAUAUAAACCGGAUGGCUUUAGUCCGUAGGACGAACAACAAUCAUACCAUAGGCUAGCUUCUAGGGUUUAGCCUCCUUGAUCUCGUGGUAGAUCUACUCUUGUAAUACCCACAUCAUCAAUAUCAAUCAAGCAGGACGUAGGGUUUUACCUCCAUUAAGAGGGCCCGAACCUGGGUAAAACAUCGUGUCCCUUGUCUCCUGUUACCAUCCGCCUAGACGCACAGUUUGGGACCCCCUACCCGAGAUCCUCCGGUUUUGACACCGACAUUGGUGCUUUCGUUGAGAGUUCCUCUGUGUCGUCACUGAUAGGCUCGAUGGCUUCUUCGAUCAUCAACAACGACACGGUCCAGGGUGAGACCUUCCUCCCCAGACAGAUCUUCGUAUUCGGCAACUUUGCACUGCGGGCCAAUUCGCUUGGCCACCUGGAGCAGAUCGAAAGCUACGCCCCUGGCCGUCAGGUCAAAUUUGGAAGUUUGAACUUCACGGCUGACAUCCGCGGGGACUUGAUCUUCGAUGGAUUCGAGCCACAGCCGAGCGCGCCACACUGUCACGACGGGCAUGACUUAGCUCUGCAGCUGGACAGUAACCUGGAGGCCGCACACGAGUCCGCUCCGAUCUUCAAUUCGGAGCCGGCUGCGCAGAUCGAGGAUGGGUGGCUAGACACCGCCUCGGGGGCUGCAACCUCUACGGCGAUAGAGCCGAACACUGACCUUGUCCCUCAUGAAGCUCGUGACUCCGAGGUGCUAGACUCCUCGCCGAACUCCGAACCUCCCGCGCCCCCUCCAAUCGAAUCCGAUUGGGCGCCGGUCAUGGAGUUCACCGCUGCGGACAUCUUUCAACACUCACCUUUCGGCGACAUAUUGAGUUCGCUAAAGUAUCUCUCGUUAUCAGGAGAGCCCUGGCCGGACUGCGGUCAGGACGGUUGGGAUGCGGACGAUGAAGAAAUUCAAAACCCACCCACCACCCACUUAGUAGCCACUGUUGACGAUCUAACCGACAUGCUAGACUUCGACUCUGAAGACAUCGACGGUAUGGACGAUGAUGCCGGAGACGACCAAGAACCAGCGCCUACUGGGCACUGGAAAGCCACCUCAUCAUAUGACAUAUACAUGGUGGAUAUCCCAAAGGAUGGGAAUGGCGAAGGAAUAGCGGAGGAUGACCCCUCCAAGAAAUAGCCCAAGCGCCGGCGUCAGCGGCGCCGCUCUAAAUCCCGCCACAGCAAGAAUGGAGAUUCCGGCACCGGAGAUAAUAACACCCCAGACAGUGCCGAAGACAACCCCCUCCAGCAAGAUUCAGCGCAGGAGGACGGAGACGCCAACCCCCAUGAAAAAGCAGCAGACAAAGAAGUAGAGGAUUACAUGCCUCCCUCCGGAGACGAGGCAAGCCUCGACAACGACGAAUUUGUCGUGCCUGAGGAUCCCGUCGAACAAGAGCGUUUUAAACGCAGGCUUAUGGCCAUGGCAAACAGCCUCAAGAAAAAGCAGCAGCAGCUUAGAGCUGAUCAAGAUCUGCUAGCCGACAGAUGGACUGAAGUCCUUGCGGCCGAAGAGCAUGAGCUCGACCGGCCCUCCAAAAGCUACCCUAAACGCAAGCUGCUCCCCCGAUUAGAGGAGGAGGCAUAUGAACCUGCAUCACCAGCAGACAAUACGGCUGACCGACCACCCCGUGGCCGCGACAGAGAGGCCUCUAGGCCCUCCACCAGAACCGUACCCCGGCAUCGCUCGAAAAGCACAAGGCCACAAGGGAAUGCUCCGGACUUGCGAGAUAUAUUGGAGGAUAAGUCAAGACAAUCAAGAUCGAUCUAUGGAUCGCGUGGGCGCCCCAUGAUACGCGACGACAACCAUCGCGCCGGACACAGUAAGUCCGGCCGGGCCGAACAAAAUAUACAAAGCUCUUUUGAACUCCGUCGUGAUAUCGCCCAGUAUAGAGGCGCCGCACACCCACUAUGCUUCACAGAUGAAGUAAUGGAUCAUCAAAUCCCCGAAGGGUUUAAACCCGUGAACAUUGAAUCUUAUGAUGGCACAACAGACCCCGCGGUUUGGAUCGAGGACUAUCUCCUUCAUAUCCACAUGGCUCGCGGUGAUGAUCUCCAUGCCAUCAAAUACCUCCCACUCAAGCUUAAAGGACCAGCCCGGCAUUGGCUUAACAGCUUGCCAGCAGAGUCAAUUGGGAGUUGGGAAGACCUGGAAGCCGCAUUCCUCAAUAACUUCCAAGGCACGUACGUGCGACCACCAGACGCUGACGACCUAAGCCAUAUAAUUCAGCAGCCAGACGAAUCGGCCAGACAAUUCUGGACAUGGUUCUUAACAAAGAAAAAUCAAAUCGUCGAUUGUCCGGAUGCAGAGGCCCUCGCGGCCUUCAAACAUAACAUCCGCGACGAGUGGCUUGCCCGCCACCUGGGACAGGAAAAGCCGAAAUCCAUGGCAGCCCUCACAUCACUCAUGACCCGCUUCUGCACGGGUGAGGACAGCUGGCUAGCAUGCAACAACAACCUCAGUAAAAAUUCUGGCAGUCCGGAUAUCAAGGACCGCAAUGGCAGGCCGCGUCGCAAUAAAAACAAACGCCGCAUUAACGGCGACAAUAGUGAGGAUACGGCAGUCAAUGCCGGAUUCAGAGGCUCUAAACCCGGUCAACGGAAAAAGACAUUCAAAAGAACUACUCCGGGUCCGUCCAAUUUGGACCGAAUACUCGACCGCUCGUGCCAGAUACACGGCACCCCCGAAAAGCCAGCUAACCACACCAACAGGGACUGUUGGGUAUUCUAGCAGGCAUGCAAGUUAAUUGCCGAAAACAACGACAAGGGGCUGCAUAGCGAUGACGAGGAAGAGACCCGACCACCGAACAAUAGAGGACAGAAGGGUUUCCCCCCACAAGUGCGGACGGUGAACAUGAUAUACGCAACCCACAUACCCAAAAGGGAGCGGAAGCGUGCACUCAGGGAUGUAUACGCGAUGGAGCCAGUUGCCCCAAAGUUCAAUCCAUGGUCCUCCUGCCCAAUCACUUUUGACCGAAGGGACCACCCCACCAGCAUCCGCCAUGGCGGAUUCGCCGCAUUGGUUUUAGACCCAAUCGUUGACGGAUUUCACCUCACCAGAGUCCUGAUGGACGGCGGCAGCAGCCUGAACCUGCUUUAUCAGGAUACAAUGCGCAAAAUGGGCAUAGACUCCUCAAGGAUUAAACCUACAAAGACGACCUUUAAAGGCGUCAUACCAGGUGUAGAGGCCAAUUGUACAGGCUUAGUUACACUGGAAGUGGUAUUCGGAUCCCCGGAUAACUUCCGGAGCGAAGAGUUAAUCUUCGACAUAGUUCCGUUCCGGAGCGGCUAUCAUGCUCUUCUCGGACGCACCGCGUUUGCAAAGUUCAACGCGGUACCGCACUAUGCAUAUCUUAAGCUCAAGAUGCCAGGCCCUCGAGGAGUCAUCACGGUCAACGGAAAUAUUGAACGCUCUCUCCGAAUGGAGGAACAUACAGCGGCUCUCGCGGCAAAAGUACAGUGCAGCCUCUUAAGGCAAUUCUCGAGUUCGGCCGUUAAGCGACCGGACACGGCUAAACGCGCCCGGAGUAACCUACAACAAGACCACCUGGCAUGUUCUGAGCACGCGUAGCAAUGCGGCCCCAACCCCAGCCCCUACAAAAUUCCAAGACGGGUCCUUCGCGUACAUCAUUACGCUCUGAAGAUACCAUGGGCAUAGGGGGAGGGGCACGACCACGAUAGGCCCAGAAUGUGGCUUAACCACACCAGGGGCUCUCAAGUGUGUCGUUCUUUUUUCUUUUCUUCUUUUUUUUUACCCACAGAACCCCGUUCAUCAGAGGCCCUGUCCGGCAGUAGACCUGCCGAACUCACGAUGCAACAGCCAGGGAAGGAGAAAGGCUACGACGAAUAUCCAGGUGGUCUCCAUUACGAGCAUUAAAUCUGUUUUAUACACCAUUCUGCAACCUACCUCUGGAGGGGGACAUGUUUAAUAGUCCCAUCCCUUGCUUAUCGCACCAUUUGUAUCAUUCUGCAUUCACAGCAGUAUUUCUUGAAUAAGCAAUGCACCCCUUUUUUACAAUUGCAUUCCUUUCUUAUACAUAUGUUCAUUUAUGACAUGUUGCAUCCGUAGACUUUGGUACGGCUAAAUACACCAGGGGCUUAUGUUUCCCGCAUCAUGGUGCAAUAAGUCCGAACACUUUCACAAGUGCAGCACCCCAAACUUAUAGCAUUAUAUGCAUCGGCUCCGAAUCAUGUCUUGGGUCAAUAGUUGGGUUUGCCCGGCUCCCAUGUUUUGGUACCUUAUGUUCCGUUGUAUCGGCUAAGGUAGCACUGGGAGAACCACUGCGAUUGUGCCCCAGUUGAGCUGGGCGAGUGCCUCAGUGGAGAAAGCUAAAACUGACCGUCAUGAUGAGGCGAGAGCCGGUCACUGUUCGAGAGGUUUUUUAGAGUCCCUAAAGACUUAUGCUGCUUAGAGCGAGGAACCGGCUCUGUCCGGCCCAGGCGUGGAUAGCGCCCCAAAUUCGGCCUUCCGAACACUAGGGGCUUCACUGAAAUUUAAAAUUAUAUAAUUCUAUGGCUAAGUGAGAGUGUUCAAGCAUUAUAAGUCCGGUUGCCUUGUUCGUUGUGUUGAGCACCUCCCUAGAUGGACCCAAAAAUGGGAACAAGAGUGCUCAAAUUUAUCCCGAACACCCCAGCACUCGUGGCAUGGGGGCUGAAGCCGAAGACUUGCCAUCUCUCAGAUUUGAUAAACGGCCGCACAGAAGGUAAUAUUUUAAAUUAACAAGCAUUGCUUAGCACAUAUGAACAAAGUUUUCAGCGCAUAGGAUAACAAAAUGCGAGUCUAUUCAAAUAUUACAUCUUUGGAGCACUCACCCGCAAUAGUGCGGGCACCCUUCAGAACAGUCUUAUAAUACAUCUCGGGAGUACGAUACUCCUUGCCCAGCGGUGGCGCGUCCGUCACAAGCUUCUCAACAUCCAUCUUGCUCCAGUGCACCUUUGCGCGGGCAAGGGCCCGACGGGCACCUUCAAUACAGGCGGAGUGCUUGAUGACUUCAACCCAUGGACAAGCAUCCACCAGCCGCCGCACCAGAUCGAAGUAGCUCCCAGGCACGGCCUCCUUAGGCCACAGCCGAACUAUGAGGCCCCUCAUGGCCUGUUCGGCCACCUUGUGGAGCUCGACCAGCUGCUUCAGCUGGUCGCUAAGGGGCACUGGAUGUCCGGCCUCAACAUACUGAGACCAGAAGACCUUCUCCGUCAAGCUCCCCUCCUCGGCCCGGUAGAAAGCGGCAGCAUCGGACAUGCUGCGAGGAAGAUCUGCGAACGCUCCUGGAGAGCUCCGAAUUCGGGUAAGUGAUAGGUAAUUCACACUCACAUGCUUACUUUGCAUGAAAAAUGCCUUACCCGCUGCUAUUUUCUUCAAUGCCUCGAUCUCUUGGAGGGCCUUGUAGGCUUCGGCCUUAGCGGCUUUGGCACUCUCAAGAGCCGAUGCAAGCUCGGACUCUCGAGUAUUCAAGUCACGCUCCAGGCUCUCAUGUUUUUCCACGAGAUCCUGGAGCUCUUGUUGUACCUCCGCCACCCGCGCCUCCUGCUUCUCUCGCUCGGUGCACUCCAUGGCCGCAUUAUGUUCGGCUGCGGACACCGCCUCCUUCAGGGUCGCCACCUCGGUCAUGGCACCUGCAAUACCCAUGUUAUCCUUGUCAAUUUUCUUGCAACCAAAUCCUUUUCUGUAAGGUACAAUCUUAAUACGGUGUUAUUCACCUUCCUUGUCCUCGAGCUGCUUCUUGGCACGGCCGAGCUCGUUCUUGGACCGCUCGAGGCUUUGCUUCAAAGUAUUGACCUCCGCAGUCAGUGCGGCAAAGGUCAGCAGCACAACCUGCAACCCCAUAUUGACAUAUUUCAUGACUCCUGCGUAUAUCUUUUUAGAUCCUCAGUCCGGCUUUUCUUUCCGAAUACCGAACCGAGCAUCAGGGGCUACUGUCUAUGCGGUACUAUUCUACAUAUAUCAAAAUUCUUACCUCAAAGCCUGUUAGAAGGCUGCUGCAGGCUUCGGUCAGCCCGCUCUUGGCGAGCUGAACCUUCUGAAUCACCACACUCAUGAAGGUGCGGUAUUCCUCUUCGAUGGAGGCGCCGUUGAGCGCCUCCAGCAAGCUAUCCGGCGCCUCCGGUUGGACGGAGGCCGCUGGCGUCGCGGUCUUGCCCUUCUUACGAAGGGGCCGCCCGCCGGACUCCGGAGCCACUUCAGGUUCCGGUGCGGAGUCCGGCACAAAGUCUGGGAGGUUGCCCUGCGGCACCUCCGGGGCAUCCUCCUCCUGGCGGGUCCCUUCCCAGGAUCCCACCUCGGCAUUGCCCGCAUCACGAGGGGUGGAGGCGGUCGGAAGGGAAUCCAUAUCCGAUGCACCCAAGGACCCGCUCGACGAAGCGGGAAAAUCAUCCUUGGGCGGACUGCAGGGUUGUAUGCGGCAUUAGAAAGACACUAUGUGGCGAAAAGAAAAACCAUGAAGUUAUUCGGGAGUCCGGAUACUUACGAUAUCGCCAGGGGCUUGGCCCUUGGAGGCCAAUCCUCAUCGUCAUCACUGGCGUUGGCAGAGCAGUCCGGGGGAAGAGUCUUUCCCUUCUUGGACCCUUCAGCCUCCCCCGUUGGGGAAGCCUUCCUUUUCUUCCCUCCCUCCGCUGGGGGAGAGGCCUUCUUCUUUUCCUCCUCGCCUUUGUGGGAGGAGUCUGCCUCGGAGUCAUCGUCCGAUGACACCUGAAAACGGGAACUCUUCCGAGUGCCCGUGGCCUUCUUCUUGGCCUUCUUCUCCGGCACCACAUGGGGUGCCGGAGCUAGCAGCCCCGUUAAGCGGGCGUCCGCUGGGUCCUCUGGCAAUGGGGCCGGACAGAUAGUUUGUUCAGCCUUCUCCAGCCAGUCCUGUCAAAGGAGAGGGAGUUUAGAUCCCGCAUAGAGUCAAACUAUGGGAAACAAGUGUCCCGUAAAGGGCAAAAUCGCUUACCUCGCUAGCCGGACGCUGCGAGCUGAAUCCGCGAUCUUCGGUAGCGGAUGCGGGGGCCUCGGCACCUUUAAACAACACCCUCCAGACUUCUUCGUACGUAGUGUUGAAGAGCCCGCUCAAAGUCUGGUGCUGCGCCGAAUCGAACUCCCACAUACUGAAGCCCCGUCAUUGGCACGGGAGAAUCCGGCGGAUGAGCAUGACCUGGACUACGUUGACAAGCUUGAGCUUCCUUUUCACUAGCUUUUUGAUGCAGGCUUGGAGUCCGGUCAGCUCCUACGAAUCACCCCAUGUCCGACCGCUCUCUUUCCAGGAGGUGAGCUGUAUGGGGAUGCCAGAUCUGAAUUCGGGGGCUGCUGCCCAUUCAGGGUCACGCGGCUCGGUGAUGUAGAACCACCCCGAUUGCCACCCCUUAAUGGUUUCCACGAAAGUGCCCUCAAGCCAAGUAACGUUGGGCAUCUUGCCCACCAUGGCGCCUUCGCACUCCGCUUGGCUGUCCUUUACCACCUUCGGCUUGAUACUGAAGGUCUUGAGCCACAAGCCGAAGUGGGGCUGGAUGCAGAGGAAGGCCUCACACACGACGAUAAACACCGAGAUAUUGAGGAUAAAAUUCGGGGCCAGAUCAUGGAAAUCCAGGCCGUAGUAGAACAUGAGCCCCCGGACAAAGGGAUGGAGUGGGAAGCCCAGUCCGUGGAGGAAAUGGGGAAGAAAUACUACCCUCUCGUGGGGCCUGGGGGUGGGGAUGAGCUCUCCCUCGUCGGGGAGCCGGUGCGCGAUGUCGCUGGACAGAUAUCCGGCGCUGCGCAGCUUCUGGAUGUGUCCCUCCGUAACGGAGGAGGCCAUCCACUUGCCUCCCGCUCCAGACAUAGUUGGAGAAGGUUGAGGUGAGAUGUGCGGACUUGGGCGCUGGAUCUCGAGUUCGCGGAGAUUGAUAAUCCAAGGAGGAAGAAGGUGCAGGUAAAAGGGUUGGAUCUUUAUCCCCUUAUAUGGGCGGACGGAAACAUGCGUCCCCACCGGCCUGAUAAAACUUGCUUAUCUCCUAAGCGCCACAAUCAAUGGCGCGGUUGGGUUACCCACGUCCGUAUUGAUGGGAAUCCCGGAAUAAGGGGAACACGAUCUCUGCUUCGACAAGACAUGCCAAGGAAACCGCUUCGCUAAACACGCUGAGGUGGUACAAUAAAAACGAUUCGAGUAAAGGCUUGGUAGUGGUGUGACGUCACGCCACCAAAUACGUCAGCAGAUUGAACUUGUGUAAAUAUUACUCUCUCUACGGUGGUAUGUGGAAUUUAUUUUGCAGAGCCGGACACUAUCCUGGUGUUCACAAUCUUCUAUAAAUUAUUCGGAGAAGGAACCCGCCUUGCAAUGUCGAAGACAACAUGCGCGCCGGACUCAUCGUCAUUGAAGCCUGGUUUAGGGGCUACUGAGGGAGUCCUGGACUAGGGGGUGUCCGGAUAGCCGAACUAUCAUCAUCGGCCGGACUCCAAGACUAUGAAGAUACAAGAUUGAAGACUUCGUCCCGUGUCCGGAUAGGACUUUCCUUGGCGUGGAAGGCAAGCUUGGCGAUGCGGAUAUGUAGAUCUCCUACCAUUGUAACCGACUCUGUGUAACCCUAGCCCUCUCCGGUGUCUAUAUAAACCGGAUGGCUUUAGUCCGUAGGACGAACAACAAUCAUACCAUAGGCUAGCUUCUAGGGUUUAGCCUCCUUGAUCUCGUGGUAGAUCUACUCUUGUAAUACCCACAUCAUCAAUAUCAAUCAAGCAGGACGUAGGGUUUUACCUCCAUCAAGAGGGCCCGAACCUGGGUAAAACAUCGUGUCCCUUGUCCUGUUACCAUCCGCCUAGACGCACAGUUCGGGACCCCCUACCCGAGAUCCGCCGGUUUUGACACCGACAAUGUCCUCGAAUGAGUAAAAUAUGCACCAACAUGCUCACACAAUAAGAUGACAAAUGAAAUAUGUGGCAAAGCAUGCACAACCAAUUCUAGCAUCUAUCAAACAAUUGGCGAUGACUAGGUCAUCUAUAUAUGAGUAUAUUGACUUAGGAGUCAAAUGAUAAACAUUUGAUCAUAGGUCAUACUCAUCGUUUAAGCUCAAGUGGGGUUACCACUUUUACAUAAUGCAUUGAUGUGUUCACACCAUUAGAGUUGCUUUGACUCAAUUCUUAGAUUUAAGCUCCCCCUAGAUGUGAGAUCCCCUUUUAGAGGGAUGAACUAACCUCGGGUUUUGUCGAUGAUGACUUCAUGUAGGUGUUGAAGAUGUGGAUGCUCAAUGUUGAUGUAGAUCAUUUGGAGCAAUCCUUUGGAGUGAGUUGCACUUUCAACUUACCCACAUGGGUUAGUCCCACAAGGAACAAACGAGAAUAUCCAUAGACAUAGAGUGAUGCACACACACGGGAUGAUGUCCAUGAAAUCAUUAGGUUACCUUGUCCCUU